GCUUCCCCAUCUUAACAGGGAUAACAGCAGCGCUCACGUCACAAGGCAGCUGCAAGGACAGGAAAAGCCCCUGGAACCGUGCCUGGCACAGAGGAAGCCCUCAGUUAUGCCAGCUACACAGUCCAUUGCUAUUAUCUCCUUUAAUCUCAAAACUACACUAAGAGAUGUAUACCAUUAUCUUUAUUUUUUUAAAGAGGAAACAGGUCCAGGGAGGUGAAGUCGGUGACCCAAUGUCACACAGCAGAAAUGAGCCACCAUUCAAUUUCUACUCUGUCUGACUCCAAAGCCUAGGCACAAGUCUUCCACAAAACUUGUGGACCAGGGAGUUCCCUGGUGGCUCAGUUGGUUAAGUAUCUGGCAUUAUCACUGCUUGGCUCGGGUCCCUGCUGUGGCAGAGGGUUCGAUACCUGGCCUGGGAACUUACGCGUGCUGUGGGCACAGCCAGAAACAAAACAAACAAAAAAACCUUGGGAAACAGAGGCUGGAUUCCUGGGAUCCAGAUCCAGAAGAGGCUUCCCAAGGACAUAGUAUGUGGCCCAACUCCUUCCCUUUACAGAGAAGGGAGGUGAAGGCGCAGGGCCCCGUGGCAUGUCAGACUAGGGGAAUCUGGGGCCAAGGCUUCGAGACUGAUGGGCAGGACAGGUCACUGCCUCUGCAAGCAGUCACCGCAUGCCCAUUUCCAGCCAGAUCAGCUGGGAGAGUGCGCGCGGGCCUCUGGAGCAUCAACUGGGGGAGAAGGCAGCGUCUGUGCUGAAAGAUCACCUACCUGGCUCCACCCUCAGGCUGGCAAAGAUCACCUCAAGAGACUCCCAGCACCCCAACCCCCUUAGCUCAGGCCUGCAGCCCAGAACCCCUGAACUCCCGACAGCCCCCCUCUGCGGCCUUGUACCCCCCAUAGGGAGGAAGUUGGGCAAUUACAGACGACCUUUGCAGGGGAGCAGAAUGUAAACUGGGAUCCAUUUGCCUGUGCAAUCUUCAUAAUUACCGCAGCAAUUAUUCACAAUGAGCCACUGCAACAAGGCUUCAGCGCAGGUGCUGAGCCCCCAACACUAGCCCCUGCCUUCCCCCUCAAAGGCUGUCCUUCGUCCCAUGGCAUAAUCUGCAUCCGUGCAACCUGCUGCCUCUCCACUCUCCUGCUAACAAGUGCACGGUGGGCUAUGGGUAAAUCAUCAACCCACGUUUGGGAAAUGUUAGGGGGUACAGGACAGAAUUCCUGAAUAUUUCCUGUUCUUCUCUCACUGUCAACUUUUCCAAUAAUGGAAAGCUCCUUUUUUUCCCCCAUAUCUAAAUAAGCACUUGAGGGGUUAAGGGACAAGAUGCGAGUCAUACACACUUUAGUAUAAAUAAGUUCUUUUACUCAGCCAGCUUUCUGCCUAAUGCCUAGCUGAGAUCCUGCCCUCCUGGAGGUGGGGGUGGGAAUUAGGAGGGUUGCUAGAAGAGGAAAGAGAAGACAGCAGGAAGAGGGAUGGAAGGGAGGUGAUAAAUGGGGUUUUUUUUGGGGGGCACACCCGUGGCAUAUGGGGGUUCCCAGGCUAGGGGUCCAAUUGGAGCUAUAGCUGCCAGCCUACACCACAGCCACAGCAACGCAGGAUCUGACCCUGUCUGUGAUCUACGCCACAGCUCACGGCAAUGCCAGAUCCUUCACCCACUGAACGAGGCCAGGGAUCGAACGCGCAACCUCAUGGAUGCUAGUUGGGUUCAUUAACUGCUGGGCCACGACGGAACUCCCCAGGUGAUAAAUGGAUUCUUGGCCCAGGUGUGGCUCCCAGGGAGUCCAUUGGGCCCACCCUGUGUCCCUCUGCAUGACAGAGGGGGGCAGUCACGGCCCCUGUCUGGGCCUGGUGUCUGCCCUGCAGGUGAAGGGCCCUGGGGGGGAGGCUGGAAGAGCAGGAUGUAGACUCACAUCCUGAUAUCCAUGCUCCCCUGCCUGCGGAAUCCACCAGACCCUGUUCAAAACCCCAGUCCCGUCCCUUCCUGACAAGUCACCCUUGGGCCCACUUUCUCAUGUGCAAAGCGGGAACAAUGGUGCCUGUGUCCCACAGCGGCCGUGGGAACAGCAGUGAGGAUCCGUGUCGCACAGCACCUCUGCCUGCCGGCUCUCGGCUCUCGGCCCUGCUGCGUGUUCUGAGAAAAGGAUGCGGGCUACAGAGGAGCCGCUCUCGUGCCCCCCUGCCGCUCCCCACCCUGGGCUCUGCCUCCCUCCCACUGGGCACAGCCGCUGCCCUCCUGGCUUCCCUUGGAGGAGAGGUGCUGAGAGCCUCAGAGCAGGGUGGGGGUACCCAGGGUGGGGGGAUACUCAAGGGGGUGCUUGAGUUUGGGGGUUUGGAGGAUGUGGGUUAGGCUGGAGAACCCCAAGAGAAGCUAUGGGAACUAAACUGGGGACCCAACUCUGGUGUCCCACAGCCGCGUGGCACCUGAGUGCCCGGCCCUUCCCUCCUCUGCCACCGUACCACGAGGCCCUACUGCGCAGAACUGCUGAGGCUAUAAGUGGAUCGUUAGGUUGGUUUCUAAAAUGGAAAAAGCCCAAUGCCUGUAACACCCAGACUGAGUCUCUGAAGACUAUUCUCCAUGAACUGGAUCCACAGGGAAAAGACAACCCACAGAAGGAGGGAAAAAAUAUUCACAAAGCAUCUAUCUGAUAAGGGGGCUAGUAUCUAAAAUACAGAAAGAACUCAAACAAUAGGAGUUCCUGCUAUGUUGCAACGGGAUCAGCUGCAUCUUGGGAGUGCUGGGGGAUGCAGGUUCAAUCCCGGGCGGGCAUAGUAGGUUAAGAAUCCGGUAUUGCUGCAGCUACAGCUUAGGUCGCAACUGUGGCUCUGAUAUGAUCCCUGGCCCGGGAACUCCAUAUACCAAAGGGCAGCGAAAAAACAAACAAACAAAACUCAACAAUAACUGGGAGUGCCCAUGGUGGCUCAGUGGUAAUGAAACCAACUAGUAUCCAUGAGGACACUGGUUUAGUACCUGGCCUUCUCAGUGGGUUAAGGAUCCAGUGUUGCCGUGAGCUGUGGUGUAGGUUGCAGACUCGCUCGGAUCCCGAGUUGCUGUGGCUGUGGUGUAGGGUGGUAGCUACAGCUCUGAUUUGACCCCUAGCCUGGGAACUUCCAUAUGCCACGGGUGCGGCUCUAAAAAGACCAAAAAAAAAAAAAAGACAAAUUACCCCCCAAAAUGGGGGCAGGAGUUCUGGCUGUGGCUCAGCAGAAACAAACCCAACUGAUAUCCAUGAGUAUGUGGGUUCGAUCCCUGGCCCCACUCAGUGGGUUAAGGAUCUGGCAUUGCUGUGGCUGUGGUAUAGGUUGGCAGCUGCAGCUCGGAUUUGACCCCUAGCCUGGGAACUUCCAUAUACCCCAGGUAUGGCCCUAAAGAGAAAAAAAAUUUAAGAAAAAAAAAUGUUUUUAAUUAAAAAACCCAAAAGUUUGCUAAUAACUAAAUAUCUGCAAGAAUGUAGAGUACAUAUUUCUUGUGAACUGGUGCAACCACUUUAGAAAACAGUAUUAUCUAGUAAGUUUGCUGAUGCACCUGUCCCAUGACCCAGCAAUUCCACUCCUAAGAUACAUCCUGUGGAACUGUAUGCACAUGGAUGAGAACAUUCUGAGUAGCACUUUUUCACGACAGCUAGUCAGAAACAACCUUGAUGUCUGUAAACAAGUAAACUGAGUAAGUAAAUCAGAGUAAAUUCACAAAAAGGAACACUAUGCAAUGGAAAAAAAAAAACGAGAAAGGACUACUGCUACAAAGAACAAUCUAGAUGCAAGGUAAAAAGAAUGUUUUUUGUUUGUUUGUCUGUCUGUUUGUUUGUUUAGGGCAGAAUCCGUGGCAUAUGGAGAUUCUCAGGCUAGGGGUCGAAUCAAGCUGCAGCUGAAGGCCUAUACCACAGGCACAGCAACUCGGGAUCCAAGCCAUGUCUGUGACCUACACCACAGCUCAUGGCAACACCAGAUCCUUAACCCACUGAACGAGGCCAGGGAUUGAACAGAGUCCUCACAGAUACUAGUAGGGUUCAUUAACCAGUGAGCCACAAAGGGAACUCCAAGAGUAUGUUGAUUGAAAAAAAAAAAAAAAAAAGGCAGACAUAUAAGAAUACAUAAUUCUAUUAAUUAAAAUUCAAAAAGAGACAAUUAUUUAGUUUUGGAUGCACCUAUGUCGUAAAACCCAAAACAAAGUAGCCAAUAAUCCCAAAUAUUUAGAAUGGUGGGUCCCUCCANNNNNNNNNNNNNNNNNNNNNNNNNNNGGCCUUAUAGGGGGGGCCCUGCAGCUGCAACAACUUUCUGUUGUGACCUAGAUGGUAGCAAUUUGGGUGCUGGCUUUCUAUUAGUUUGUUUCUAUUUUAUGCAUUUUUAUAUUUUAAAACUGGGGAAAAUACUCACUGGUCCCCUUUGGAGGUUGUUAGAGCACCAACUCAUUUCUCUAAAAACUGAUAAAGGGAAAAUGAGUCAAGCCUUUCUCCUAUUGUAUAUACCAUAAUGCAGGAUCACAAAACAGGUGCAGAGAGGAAGGUCUUUCUAGAGGUCCAGCAAACAAAAGGAUCAAAUUAGAAAACUCUCCAUUGGGCAGGGAGAAAAAUGUGAUAGAAACCUGACUUGCCGCAAAGGUGGGAGGCAUCCCCCUCCCAAACACCCUACCCCCCCAACCCGGGCCACUGCUAGCAACAAGCAUUUCCCUGACGACCACAGCAACUCCAGCCAUCCCAGCCAGGCUGUGAGCAGAGGGACCACUCUAUGGCCAUGCCAACAGGGACAUGGGCUUAUCUUCAGGUGCUGUACAUGUUACUUUGUUUCCAGAAUUUGUACAAAUUUGUGCAGAGUUCUGGGGGCGGGGGCAGGCACCUCCUGAGCAUGGCCGGUGGAGGAGGCGUCCAGGCCUCAGGUUCAGGGCAGAGGCCCAGCCUCACGGCCCUGGUCCAGAGCAGCCUCGGGGUGAGGCAGUCAAGGGGUCCUAGGAGGAGCAGGGGGGCUCAGGGUCUGGUGCUGAUGCAGGCUGGGGUCUACUGCUUCAUGGAUCCCCAACACCAAGGCAGCCUGGAGGCUGCUCCCUACCCGUAUGGCCCUCAGAUGGAAAUGUUGGGACUUGAUUUCUCCCGGGGGGCUUCUCUUGGUCCCACUUGGGAGUGGUGGGGAGGGAAGGAAGCAGACUGUGACUUGCCACCCCGCCUGUGGCCGGGUCCAGGGUCACCCGAGCCAGCUCUGUCGCUUACCUGGCCAGCUGGUGUGAGGGGGAUGGGUCCCAAUGCCCACCCAGGGCCAGUGACAAAGUGCUAGGAAAGGGGGCAGAGGCAGGGAUCUUGGGCCCUGUGGCGUGGGGAGGCCUCCCAUCAGAGGCACCCUGUCUGGGACAGGGCCAAGUGGGGCAGGUGAGAUGGCAGCCAGUCACCCAACACUAGGAGAGCAGGCGGCAGUGGCCGCCUGGUGCCCGAUGAAGCUGCUGAUAAGAGGUGACACCCAAUAUCCUGCUGCAGGUGGGGCGGGAGGAGGGGAGGCAGGAGUGGAGACAGCCGUGUUCAAAGGGUGAGGUUUCUGUUUUUGUUUUUGUUUUAGGGCUGCCCCUGCUGCCUAUGGACGUUGCCAGGCUAGGGGUCAAAUUGGAGCCAUAGCCCCUGGCCUACACCACAGCCACAGCCACUCCAGAUCCAAACCGCAUCUGCGACCCACACCACAGCUUGCAGCCAUGCGACACCCUUAACCCACUGAGCGAGGCCAGGGAUCAAACCCACAUCCUCCAUGGAUACUAGUCAGGUUCUUAACCCGAUGAGCCAUGAUGGGAACUCCCAGAGGGCGUUUUGAAUCCCAGCUAUAUAACAACACAAGCAGGAACCAGGAGCUUUAAGCCCCUCUGCCGCCUCAGCUCACCCAUCUGAAAACAGGGUGCUGGGAAGGUGACACGAGCUCUGACACAAGCAGCCUUGCAUGGUGCCCAGCACAUGGGAAGUGCUCAACAAACACCACAUGCUGCUGUUAUGGAAGUUGGGGCUGCUGCUGAGGGCUCAGCAGGGGGAAGCAGGGUGGGGUCAGCUCAAUGCAACACAGAUCCACAGAGGGAAAGCCCCAGGGGACCAGGACCAAGAGGGUUUCACCACCAUGGCCGGUGCCUGGUUCAGUCUGGGCACACAGCACUCAACAUAUAUUUGUUGAAUGAUUGCAUGAGAGUAAAACUAUGAACCCAUAUCCACUAACACAAUGUAUUAACAAAUUAGAGCAUCCCGUGUAAGAAUCCGAACUCUAAUCCCAGGUCUGCCCCCUUUCUGGCUGUGCAACCCCAGGCAAGGCAUCCCUGCCCCCAACCUCACCUUCCUCAUGGACCAAAUAGGAAUACUGGUAAUUAAUAAAUACCUUUCUCACAGUGUCAAAGCAGAAAUUGGACAUGAGGGUGGACUUGAUGCUGUCAGCACCCCUUUCUCAGAUGGGGUACCCAUCCCCAAGUCUCUGCACGUGUGGGUUGCUAAUGGCUCAUAGAUUCUCCCUUCUCUUGGGAGUUCUUGUUGGUUGGUUGGUUGAGUUUUUAUUAAAGUAUAGUUAAUUUACAAUAUUACUUUCAGGUGCACAGUAUAGUUUUUUGUUGUUGUUUUUUUUGUCUAUUUAGGGCCGCGCCAGCAGCAUCUGGAGCGUC
RNAcentral lists this long non-coding RNA (6600 nucleotides) under Sus scrofa (pig). RNAcentral's name for it is "lncRNA (ENSSSCG00005042177.1)". The record is from RNAcentral. Lineage: Eukaryota; Metazoa; Chordata; Mammalia; Artiodactyla; Suidae.